Molecule: non-coding RNA, 165 nt
Organism: Arachis ipaensis
Lineage: Eukaryota; Viridiplantae; Streptophyta; Magnoliopsida; Fabales; Fabaceae
Source: RefSeq, a predicted model, not a curated record
AAGUUUAGUAAAUUUGGAGUAUUUAAAUUUGGAUUCCUGCAAAAUAGGCGAUGAAGGGCUUGCCAAUUUGACAGGCCUCACUCUCUUGAGAAGUCUAGUGUUGUCAGACACUGAAAUUGGUUCCAGCGGGCUGCAUCAUAUAUCAGGUUUACACAAACUGGAAGA